UACGUAGGGGGCGAGCGUUGUCCGGAAUCAUUGGGCGUAAAGAGCUCGUAGGCGGUCUGUUGCGUCGGCUGUGAAAACCCGGGGCUCAACUCCGGGCCUGCAGCCGAUACGGGCAGACUAGAGUUCGGCAGGGGAGACUGGAAUUCCUGGUGUAGCGGUGAAAUGCGCAGAUAUCAGGAGGAACACCGGUGGCGAAGGCGGGUCUCUGGGCCGAUACUGACGCUGAGGAGCGAAAGCGUGGGGAGCGAACAGG
This 253-nucleotide ribosomal RNA is filed under the name uncultured bacterium. RNAcentral's name for it is "partial 16S ribosomal RNA". It matches the Rfam family "Bacterial small subunit ribosomal RNA", at positions 524 to 776 of the family's 1533-position model. The record is from RNAcentral.